This 253-nucleotide ribosomal RNA is filed under the name uncultured bacterium. RNAcentral describes it as "partial 16S ribosomal RNA". It matches the Rfam family "Bacterial small subunit ribosomal RNA", at positions 524 to 776 of the family's 1533-position model. The record is from RNAcentral.
UACGUAGGGUGCGAGCGUUAAUCGGAAUUACUGGGCGUAAAGGGCGCGUAGGCGGCACUGUUAGUCAGGCGUGAAAGUCCUGGGCUCAACCUGGGAACUGCGCUUGAUACGGCAGAGCUAGAGGAUGGAAGAGGCUCGCGGAAUUCCCAGUGUAGAGGUGAAAUUCGUAGAUAUUGGGAAGAACACCGGUGGCGAAGGCGGCGAGCUGGUCCAUUACUGACGCUGAGGCGCGACAGCGUGGGGAGCAAACGGG